ACCUAACCUAUGGACGGGGAUAACCUCGGGAAACUGAGAAUAAUACCCGAUAGAACAUUAUGCCUGGAACGGUUUAUGUUUCAAAUAAUUUAUUGCCGUAGGAUGGGACUGCGGCCUAUCAGUUUGUUGGUGAGGUAAUGGCCCACCAAGACUAUUACAGGUACGGGCUCUGAGAGGAGUAGCCCGGAGAUGGGUACUGAGACACGGACCCAGGCCCUAUGGGGCGCAGCAGGCGAGAAAACUUUGCAAUGUGCGAAAGCACGACAAGGUUAAUCCGAGUGGUUUCUGCUAAAGGAACCUUUUGCCAGUCCUAGAAACACUGGUGAAUAAGGGGUGGGCAAGUUCUGGUGUCAGCCGCCGCGGUAAAACCAGCACCUCAAGUGGUCAGGAUGAUUAUUGGGCCUAAAGCAUCCGUAGCCUGCUUUGUUAGUUUUCGGUUAAAUCUAUUCGCUCAACGAAUAGGCUGCCGGGAAUACUGCAAAGCUAGGGAGUGGGAGAGGUAGACGGUACUCGGUAGGAAGGGGUAAAAUCCUUUGAUCUAUUGAUGACCACCUGUGGCGAAGGCGGUCUACCAGAACACGUCCGGCGGUGAGGGAUGAAAGCUGGGGGAGCAAACCGGAUUAGAUACCCGGGUAGUCCCAGCUGUAAACUAUGCAAACUCAGUGAUGCAUUGGCUUGAUGCCAAUGCAGUGCUGCAGGGAAGCCGUUAAGUUUGCCGCCUGGGAAGUACGUACGC
Molecule: ribosomal RNA, 736 nt
Filed under: uncultured archaeon
Lineage: Archaea
Description: bacterial SSU rRNA
Rfam family: Archaeal small subunit ribosomal RNA
Source: RNAcentral